AGUUAUUAUUUGGGGCCAGAGUUGCUGAGAUCUGAUUCUCUCAUUAGUGAGUCAGUGCUUAAACAUUUGUGGCAUCAUCAGGAUGCCAUUUUGUGCUGUUCUUUGAAGUCGGUGCCGGUGUUCAUCUUUGCAAACCAGGCUGGCCUUGACAUGUUAGAAACAACUUUGGUGGCUUUAAAAGACAUCACAUGGGUAUUUAGAGGAAGUGCCUUGUAUUAACUCCAUCUUGUGAAGGCAGAGAAAGCUAGAAGAUACAUUCCAAAAGAAUUCAAAUAGGUUGAAGCUUUUGGGCUGCAGAGGCUUGGAUUGAUGUUGAAAGAGUUCAUACAAUUGCAUUAGAAGCCAAGAAGAACUAGUGUCAUGAUGAUCUAUCUUUUUUUUUUCCAGUUUUAAAUCAUGUAAUUUUGCUUCAUUUUCAUCUUCAAUUGUAAUUUUGUA
This is an RNA transcript of Arachis duranensis, 438 nucleotides long. RefSeq lists it as uncharacterized. Lineage: Eukaryota; Viridiplantae; Streptophyta; Magnoliopsida; Fabales; Fabaceae. The transcript has 4 exons. The record is from RefSeq and is a predicted model, not a curated record.